Dermochelys coriacea (leatherback sea turtle) is the source of this 924-nucleotide long non-coding RNA. RefSeq lists it as uncharacterized. The transcript is spliced from 3 exons. The record is from RefSeq and is a predicted model, not a curated record. NCBI's taxonomy places the organism in Eukaryota, Metazoa, Chordata, Testudines, Dermochelyidae.
GGUACCUAGAACAGAGCAGAGCUGGGGGCUCUGGCUUGCCUGUAAUCUCCAGGGGACAGCGACUUUCUCUCCCUGUUUGUGUAACGCAGACCACAACAGGGCCCUGAUCUCAGCACCAGCUGUGCCACACCUAGCCAGCCGGCCAAGCACCCACCCAUGCAGACCCCACCUGAAUCAUCGUCAGUCUGGGAAGAGAAGCGUCGCUGGGCUGGAAGCCUGUUUACCAGAGAAAAUGCUCCUUCCCUGGUGUCUUUGGGAGCGAAUAGACCUGGGCCCUUUCCAGCAUAGUCUUCCCCACAUAUCCUUGGGUCACCUCAGGCUGUGGCCCUGAUCCAGAAAUCAAGGGUUGCAGGGGCCUGGGCUAUUGGGUCUGGAUGCAGGAUUGGGGCUUUAUGUGAUUAGCUCCUAGGGGCGAGCCUCAUGUCUCUUAUAGCUCUGUAAAGCACCAGCCUCACCCAAGGGGUAAUAACACAGGACCAGAGUGAUGCCAAGAAAGCAGAAGCUACUUGCAAGCCCCUUGCUUGGCAUUUCUCUGGAACCAGCGCCUCCCCUGGUGUAGGGGGCAUGGCAGGGUGGAGAGGAGGCAUGGCUGGAGCACAGCAUGCUCUGGCAAUGCCCAGCUGGCAAAUGGUCACUAAGGGACCAUAACCAACUGAGACCAGUUGAGAACAGGGACCCCUGGCUGCUUUAACCUGUUCUGGAGCUGAGGCAGAGAAUCCAGGAGCUGUAACCAGCUUCCUGCUGGUCCCCUCCUGAUGCACCUGAGAAUUUGCUCUGUAGUGUUUGCCAGAGGUGGAUGCUCUCGCUAAGGUCAGAACCUGCUUUCCACUCUAGCCCCGCUGCAUGCAGCUGACUCUCUCUCUGAGUGCCAUGGGGGCUGUAAGUUUCUAAGGCUCUGGCCCGACCUACUGCAGAACUGAUUUA